UAAAAAAAAAAAAAAAAAAGUAGAAGAAGUUCUGGUGCUAUAUUUUAAUGUCUUCAAUGUUAUAAACUAUUUCAACCAACUAUUUUCUGAUUUUAUAUUGUUCUUGCACUGGUGAAGAAAAGUGGAAUUUCAAUUUCAAAUGGCUGUAAUUAUAUUGCGUUUUCUCGUUUAAUAUCAAAUCAAACAAUUAAACGUUAGUAUGAACAAUGGCUUACACCACAUUGAUCGUGUGAUCUCUCCAACACUUGAUUUUGUUACGCUCGAGUUAGUACUAUUUGUGCAAGUGAAAAAUGAGGGCUGGCCCAUUCUUCAUGUUGCUGCUUUGCUUUGCUUUUCAGGUGGAAACUAGGCAUGAAAAAUUUUGCAAUCUGCUCGUCAAUCCGUAAAACAUGAUAUGAUAUUGCGACUUGUACUUGCAAACCUAGUUAGGAAACAGAAACAGCAAAGCAAUUACAUGUGCGGACCAAACCUAAACCUUUUGGAUUCAGACAUUUUGGAUCAGCUUAUUGAUUAGCGAGUGCAUUAGUCCAACAAGCUCCGGCGAUUCUAUCUUCAUAUGUGUGAACCAAUGGAUUAAUUUCAUCUUUUUGAACUUAGCCAAUCUAAUAACAACCUCUGAACCCGACUUAAGGUUCAAUUUUUUUUUUUUUCCUGGUCUGAUUCAGUGGUCAAGAAAUUGAAUUUGUAAUUCAUGGUUAGAGAAAGUUCAAAGGUAUUCGUAUUAACCAAUCUAAAAAGUCCAUAGGAAAAUCCAACACAAACACAACUCCACGUGUCACAAACACAGCCCCGAAAGAUGCAACUAUAGAUUCUGUUAACUUCAUACUCGCCCCACUCACUUUGAACUUCCUGGUAUAUUGUAAAAACAAGAGCACUUUCAAAACAUGGUGGCAGGGAUCACCAUUUCUUCUCCAAAAUCCACAAUCUUGCAGAAUCCAAUCUCCUUAAAAGAACCAAAUUCUUGUUUUCCCGGCGGUUCCUUGAAGGGUCUUUCUUUACUAUUUAAACCCAGAAAUAAAAUAAGAGAUAACGUUAGUUUGGUGGUUGCUGCAGCAAGUAGUACCCCCUCCAAAACUAGCACCACCAGCACCAGUCGCGGCAGGUUUUAUUUUAACUUUACAGGGUUUCCUUUUCCUCUUGGUCCUUUCCUCAAUAGAAGUACCAUAAGGACUGAGGUCAGUAUCUUUAUUUUAUCUUAAAGUUUUAAUUGCUCCCACUCUCUUGUAGUUCUAAUCGCCAUCUCAUUGAAAUUUACAUAAUUAGAGAGAAAAUAUUGUGACUGCAUUCUUUAUUAGUGCAUUAAUCUGUCUUUCUAUUCAUUAUUUCCCCCAUAUGCUACUUGGUAUUUUUCAAUUUGAGGUAGAUAAGCUGACACUAAUUUUGCAUGUAUUGCUGUUGUUACAAUGUGUUUUGUCUGUUGAACCAACAUUCUGGUAUAUUUCUUUUGUCUGUAAUUCAGCCGCUGUCAUUUUUUCUCUUAUAUUAAGCCAUAAAAUAUUUUAAAUAUAUGGCUUGAAUUGGGCAGAUAGAGAAUAAUUUUGUAGUUUGUAUGAUUGAUUUUUGGAGGGAAAGGGGAAGGGGAAGGAGAAGGAGAAUGGAUGGGAAGAAGCACUUUUUAUUUUUGAAGUCUCUUAGCUAAUAGUUUUAUUUUGUUCUUUUUCUGAAGGAAGCUUUUUCCAGCCUUUUCCAUAUUAUAAUUCUGGGAUGCUAUGUAUUUGUAUGCCAUUGGCUCAAACUUACAAAUUAUUGUAUUUCACAUACCCUUGGAAGAAUGAGAAAGAAACAAAAUGCUCUUUGCAAGCACUUCCUUUCCUUUCUGAGCUGGGGUUCUCAAUUGACACAGGAGCUUUAUGUUAUCAUCUAAAGUUUCAAGUUGUCUUUGAACUGGCAAUAAAUGACAUUUUGGCUUGUUCAAUCUAGAUUGCAGAACAGCUGUGUACUAGACAUCUAUGGGAUAUACGAAUAACAACUAUACCCAAGAAGUUAGCCUAAGUUAUAGGACUUGUAAGAGGAUAAUAUGUUUUUUCAAUUUCUACGUGAUUGAAUAUGUAGCCAAAUGGUAAGUUGACUUGUUAGUGACUCAGAAAAGAAAGAGUUCCCAUUUGAUUGACUGAGAUAAUUAAGUAAAGGACAUAUAUAUAUAUAUAUAAAUAGUAACUAGUUCUGUUUUUCUUAGUUCAUUUGAUAGAGUUUUCUCUUUUUCUUCUGUUAAUGUACUUUGUAUGUAGUGAAAGGUUCCAUAUGGCUAUUCGAACAAGAGCAAGCAUUAGGCUUCAGCAGUGUGUCAACAAACAUUCGAAUGACAGUUAUCAAACUCAAAUCUAGAGGAUUAUGGAUCCAUGCACCCAUUGCUCCAACCAAGAAGUGUUUUCAGGUUCUAUCUUGUUCUCUAAAUUUCCCCUUUUAGCUAGGAUACUAAAUAGUCAAUUUAGCUGUAUUAUUUGGAACUUGAGCACAUGAAUUUUGACUUUGUUUCCACAACAUGUGAAGCCAUCUUAUAUACCUGAUCUUUUCUAAACUUGGAUUACUGAAUGAAAGUACCUACUUUUAAUCAGAAUAUAACCUAUGUUUUCCCUCUUAAAGGCCAAAAACUAUGAAAUGAGAGUCCAAUAGCCCCUGAAGUGUUAGUUGCCUGAGGAUGACCUGAGAGAAACACCAGCCAGUAUUUAUAGAAGUUGAUUAUCUGUGAUUAGCAGAAUUUUCUGUAUCAUAUUUAUAGCCUUUUUUAUUACUUUAGUUUUUCAUCUCUAUUAAAUUCUGCAUGGUCUGCACUUCUG
RNAcentral lists this unclassified non-coding RNA (2777 nucleotides) under Hevea brasiliensis (rubber tree). The record is from RNAcentral. Lineage: Eukaryota; Viridiplantae; Streptophyta; Magnoliopsida; Malpighiales; Euphorbiaceae.